Molecule: ribosomal RNA, 426 nt
Filed under: uncultured bacterium
Lineage: Bacteria
Description: bacterial SSU rRNA
Rfam family: Bacterial small subunit ribosomal RNA
Source: RNAcentral
AGGGAAUCUUCCGCAAUGGACGAAAGUCUGACGGAGCAACGCCGCGUGAGUGAUGAAGGUUUUCGGAUCGUAAAGCUCUGUUGCCGGGGAAGAACAAGUGCCGUUCGAACAGGGCGGUGCCUUGACGGUACCCGGCCAGAAAGCCACGGCUAACUACGUGCCAGCAGCCGCGGUAAUACGUAGGUGGCAAGCGUUGUCCGGAAUUAUUGGGCGUAAAGCGCGCGCGGGCGGUCUUUUAAGUCUGAUGUGAAAGCCCACGGCUCAACCGUGGAGGGUCAUUGGAAACUGGAAGACUUGAGUGCAGAAGAGGAGAGGGGAAUUCCACGUGUAGCGGUGAAAUGCGUAGAGAUGUGGAGGAACACCAGUGGCGAAGGCGACUCUCUGGUCUGUAACUGACGCUGAGGCGCGAAAGCGUGGGGAGCAAAC